RNAcentral lists this transfer RNA (86 nucleotides) under Escherichia coli. Its description in RNAcentral is "tRNA-Leu(taa)". It matches the Rfam family "tRNA". Rfam says of the family: Transfer RNA (tRNA) molecules are approximately 80 nucleotides in length. Their secondary structure includes four short double-helical elements and three loops (D, anti-codon, and T loops). The record is from RNAcentral. Lineage: Bacteria; Pseudomonadati; Pseudomonadota; Gammaproteobacteria; Enterobacterales; Enterobacteriaceae.
GCCCGGAUGGUGGAAUCGGUAGACACAAGGGAUUUAAAAUCCCUCGGCGUUCGCGCUGUGCGGUUCAAGUCCCGCUCCGGGUACCA